RNAcentral lists this ribosomal RNA (253 nucleotides) under uncultured bacterium. Its description in RNAcentral is "partial 16S ribosomal RNA". It matches the Rfam family "Bacterial small subunit ribosomal RNA", at positions 524 to 776 of the family's 1533-position model. The record is from RNAcentral.
UACGGGGGGGGCAAGCGUCGUUCGGAAUUACUGGGCGUAAAGGGCUCGUAGGCGGCCAACUAAGUCGGACGUGAAAUCCCCAGGCUCAACCUGGGAACUGCGUCCGAUACUGGAUGGCUUGAAUUCGGGAGAGGGAUGCAGAAUUCCAGGUGUAGCGGUGAAAUGCGUAGAUAUCUGGAGGAAUACCGGUGGCGAAGGCGGCAUCCUGGACCGACAUUGACGCUGAGGAGCGAAAGCUAGGGGAGCAAACGGG